RNAcentral lists this ribosomal RNA (594 nucleotides) under Salmonella enterica subsp. enterica serovar Kiambu. RNAcentral describes it as "partial 23S ribosomal RNA". It matches the Rfam family "Bacterial large subunit ribosomal RNA", at positions 2248 to 2836 of the family's 2925-position model. Lineage: Bacteria; Pseudomonadati; Pseudomonadota; Gammaproteobacteria; Enterobacterales; Enterobacteriaceae. The record is from RNAcentral.
CGGACAGUGUCUGGUGGGUAGUUUGACUGGGGCGGUCUCCUCCUAAAGAGUAACGGAGGAGCACGAAGGUUGGCUAAUCCUGGUCGGACAUCAGGAGGUUAGUGCAAUGGCAUAAGCCAGCUUGACUGCGAGCGUGACGGCGCGAGCAGGUGCGAAAGCAGGUCAUAGUGAUCCGGUGGUUCUGAAUGGAAGGGCCAUCGCUCAACGGAUAAAAGGUACUCCGGGGAUAACAGGCUGAUACCGCCCAAGAGUUCAUAUCGACGGCGGUGUUUGGCACCUCGAUGUCGGCUCAUCACAUCCUGGGGCUGAAGUAGGUCCCAAGGGUAUGGCUGUUCGCCAUUUAAAGUGGUACGCGAGCUGGGUUUAGAACGUCGUGAGACAGUUCGGUCCCUAUCUGCCGUGGGCGCUGGAGAACUGAGGGGGGCUGCUCCUAGUACGAGAGGACCGGAGUGGACGCAUCACUGGUGUUCGGGUUGUCAUGCCAAUGGCACUGCCCGGUAGCUAAAUGCGGAAGAGAUAAGUGCUGAAAGCAUCUAAGCACGAAACUUGCCCCGAGAUGAGUUCUCCCUGAGACUUAGAGUCUCCUGAAGGAAC